AAACUANUUUAAUUUGGCGGCAUUUCAUCUAUUUAGAGGAAUUUGUCCUUUAAUCGAUAAUACACGUUAAAUUUCACUUUAAUUUACAAUUUAUAUACCGUCAUCUUAAGAAUUAAUUCAAAAAUAUUUCUCCUAAUAAAUUAUAAAAAGUUAGAUCAAGGUAUAAUCUACAUUAAAGAAUAAGAUGAAUUACAUUAAAUAAUAUUUAAAGAUUAUUAAUAUAUAUAUAAAUACAAAUAAGAAUUUAAAAGUAAUAUACAAACAAUAAUAUUAUAUGAUAAAGAUAAUAAAUGUGCACACAUCGCCC
This 307-nucleotide ribosomal RNA is filed under the name Inermocoelotes inermis. RNAcentral's name for it is "partial 12S ribosomal RNA". The record is from RNAcentral. Lineage: Eukaryota; Metazoa; Arthropoda; Arachnida; Araneae; Agelenidae.